GAAGGUACAGCUCAGUGGUGGAGUGCAUGCUUAGCAUGCAUGAGGUCCUGGGUUCAAUCCCCAGUACUUCUG
RNAcentral lists this transfer RNA (72 nucleotides) under Camelus dromedarius (Arabian camel). It matches the Rfam family "tRNA". From Rfam's summary of the family: Transfer RNA (tRNA) molecules are approximately 80 nucleotides in length. Their secondary structure includes four short double-helical elements and three loops (D, anti-codon, and T loops). Lineage: Eukaryota; Metazoa; Chordata; Mammalia; Artiodactyla; Camelidae. The record is from Rfam by way of RNAcentral. RNAcentral also lists the same sequence under 1 other name.